This is a long non-coding RNA of Triticum urartu, 1795 nucleotides long. RefSeq lists it as uncharacterized. NCBI's taxonomy places the organism in Eukaryota, Viridiplantae, Streptophyta, Magnoliopsida, Poales, Poaceae. The record is from RefSeq and is a predicted model, not a curated record.
UGUGCGGGGUUGAUUUCUUUCUGGCUUCGGCGUCAGAUACUGGAGAGAGAGAGAGAGGGGAGAGAUAGCGUCGGCGUCUUCUCCCUUUCUUCCGGGCUUUCUGCCCGCUGAGAACGUGCGCGCAGAAAGGAUGAAGUUCGAGCCGUGGAGUACUUCGAGCCGUGCGCCCCUUCCCCCGUCCUCCUCCACCUUGCCUGGGCUCCGCCUCCUCCGCCCGCAUCCUCCUCUCUCUCUCUUCUGCGCCAACGGCCUCCUCCCUCGUUGCUGGACCCGCCCUGCUUCGCCUCCGCCAGCCUCUUCCUCCUUGCCGUCAACGGCAGCGGUGUGAACGGGAGCAGCGGCCGCGACUAGAUGCGAUGAGUUGACCGGGCUGGUUCCACGCUGAGGAACGGACCCCCUCGACACCAUCCUCUGCGGCGCUACUCUGCUGCAUGCGUUCGUCACAGUUAAGUUCUGGUUCCUUACCUGCUCCCCCUCCUCUUGAGCAUUAUGUUCCUCACAGUAUUUAGCCUUGCUACCUUCGAUAUGUUCAUGUGCAGGUUUGUGAUCUCUUCUGCAUUCCGCUUUCCAGGAGUUCUUGCCUUCAACCCUGAGGUGGAAUGGCUCUUCCCAUACUUGUCUCGCGGAGGUGGGGCUCGAAGAAGUAUGGCAUGGGGCUCGAGGACGGGAGAGGAUUGGUCCUGAUGCGCUAGCUUAAGGGUUCGUCUGUACGGGAGCACAUCAUUGGAGAGAAAGUUCAUGAUCAAAGGAAAUAGGUUUCAGGCUCGUGCGCCUGUUUUCCUUUUUUUUCCUUCGAUGGGGCCGUUCAGGUGAGGUGAAGCAAGCGAGCACCUCCCCGUGUUUUAUAUAUUCCAGGAUAUUAACAUUUGCAGCCAUACGUUGGUUUCAAUGGUGACAAAUUUUUGUCAAUCCCACAGAGAUAAUUUAAUUUGAGACUAGCAAAUACAUUGAGAUCGAGGACAGAGCGAGUCGUUGCAGAGGAGAGGGGAUACGAGGGUGGGCGGAGGUCAGGCAUUGCUAACAGAUUUGCGGCGGAGUGGAAGAGGUGACGCCAGCCGGCCGGCGCCUCACCACCGGCUCCUGUUUGGCGGUGGCAAAGAGAAGGGCGCCGAGGAUGUGUUGCUCUAUGCAUGGUUGUCGAAGUACAUCAUCGUUAUGAUGUGUAUGGUUUCUCUAGCCCUACUGCUCCUGAGCCCAAAUCCCAUGGCCAUGCCCCCACCUCUUCAUCGUUGAAUGAAGGGAGUCUGGUUGCUAAAAACAGCUUUUCUACAGCAAUAGCCAAAUAAUGUGACAUCACACCACUCCAUUUUCAUAGGCCAUAACACAUCUUUACAUGAUAAGCCGACACCUAACAAGGAUCGGGAGAACAAUAGAGAUGCUAAGAGGCAACCUUUUGGGUUAAGGAUAUAAACAACAACAGGGCUUAUGAGGCCGAAGAGAGCUCGAGUGGCGUCUUUUGGUUCUUGAAGCCCUGCACGUUCCUGGUGGAGUAGCAGCAAAAUAAUUUGGAGGCUUUAAAGCUACUGCACUUCAUGUAGUUAGGAUCAAUUCUUUGUUUUGGUUUGAAAUAUAUUGCCCAGCUCCUCCUAUUUGAUUGAUUCAUCUGAUGAUUUUGCCAGGCAAAUAAACAAAAGGCAUAUGUAUUGUUACGAGUGAAGCCAUCCAUACUCCCAUAUGUGGAAUUCAAGAAAUAGAGAAAUGUCAUUGUUCUUCUACUAAUUGGUUGCUUGGCCAAAUGUACUGUAAAUGAUUUAUUAUUGUUCAAGGUAUAGAGAAAUGUUACUAUUGUUCUUCA